Molecule: ribosomal RNA, 105 nt
Filed under: Chrysanthemum zawadzkii subsp. latilobum
Lineage: Eukaryota; Viridiplantae; Streptophyta; Magnoliopsida; Asterales; Asteraceae
Source: RNAcentral
GGGUGCGAUCGUACCAGCACUAAAGCACCGAUCCCAUCAGAACUCUUUAGUUAAACGUGCUUGGGCGAGAGUAGUACUGGCUUGGGUGAACCGCAAUUUCUUUUC